GCGCAAUGGGCGGAAGCCUGACGCAGCGACGCCGCGUGGGGGAUGACGGCCUUCGGGUUGUAAACCUCUUUCGCCAGGGACGAAGCUUUAUUGUGACGGUACCUGGAUAAGAAGCACCGGCCAACUACGUGCCAGCAGCCGCGGUAACACGUAGGGUGCGAGCGUUGUCCGGAAUUAUUGGGCGUAAAGAGCUCGUAGGCGGUGUGUCACGUCGGCCGUGAAAACUUGGGGCUUAACUCUGAGCGUGCGGUCGAUACGGGCAUCACUUGAGUUCGGCAGGGGAGACUGGAAUUCCUGGUGUAGCGGUGAAAUGCGCAGAUAUCAGGAGGAACACCGGUGGCGAAGGCGGGUCUCUGGGCCGAUACUGACGCUGAGGAGCGAAAGCGUGGGGAGCGAACAGGAUUAGAUACCCUGGUAGUCCACGCCGUAAGCGUUGGGCGCUAGGUGUGGGGGAUGGGUUCCACCGUUUCCGUGCCGUAGCUAACGCAUUAAGCGCCCCGCCUGGGGAGUACGGCCGCAAGACU
RNAcentral lists this ribosomal RNA (524 nucleotides) under uncultured bacterium. RNAcentral's name for it is "bacterial SSU rRNA". It matches the Rfam family "Bacterial small subunit ribosomal RNA", at positions 366 to 895 of the family's 1533-position model. The record is from RNAcentral.